GCACAAGUCUGGGCCGUGCCCUCGGGGUCAGGCCGGGCUGGUCUCCGGGAUUCUCCCGAGGGGAGGGGCUGCUCUCAUGACCUUUCCCAACAAAAGCACUUCCGGCGUGGUGGCGGAGCGUCUUCCUGGAGGAGGGGACACGCCUUGCUGUAAGAUUCCUGGCCUGGCGCUCCGGACACGGACACGGCGCGGGAAGAAAAGUUCCUAAGUUCAGCUAUUUCAAAGUGAGUUCUUUUGUGCACUCCGUAUGGAUAGGAAUCAACGUUGCCUUUUUUGACGGGGCCCCUGCUCUAACGGGACUUGCUUUCCGAAGAAAGCAAAUGUGGAUGAAAACCCUAAAGGUAAGAGCUAACAGUACAAACCCCUCAGAAUAAAAAAAAAAGCGGAAUCUUUACAACUUUGGGCGAGGCAAGCCAGUUUGCUAGGUACUACAAUGUCUUUUGUCUUUCAAUGACAAAAGAAAACAAGAUAAGUGAACGUCUUCAGAAAGGAAUGAGCAGGGCUUCCCUGCUGGCGCAGUGGUUGAGAGUCCGCCUGCCGAUGCAGGGAACACGGGUUCGUGCCCCGGUCCGGGAAGAUCCCACAUGCCGCGGAGCGGCUGGGCCCGUGAGCCAUGGCCGCUGAGCCUGCGCGUCCGGAGCCUGUGCUCUGCAACGGGAGAGGCCACAACAGUGAGAGGCCUGCGUACCGCAAAACAAACAAACAAAAACAAAACCAAAAGAAAACAAAGAUAAAGUUGCUAAUUUCCUGACACUUUCAGACCAGAGGAGGAUUUUAGAACCUAGAGCCACUAGCCAGAUGAAGGAGAUGGGUGUUUUCUUCCUGGAUGUUUGGACAUUUUAGACCGGUGCCCCCCCGGGGCCUUGAGGAAACAUUUCUGGACUGUGGGACAGCAUUUAACAUGACGACCCCAGCGAGGCCUCAUGUGUAAUUCACUGUAUGUCUAUUCGUCGUCAGUGACAAGAUAAGAAAACAAAACCUCUUUGGGGGGUCACAGGAACUCUUGUCAAACCUGCACCUUCAUCAGAGAGCUUGAACGACGUUCGUUACGGGGUACCAUCUGCUACAGGUUUUAGACGCACUUGAUGAACACGCUGAAUGUAUGAUGCGGCCCAGAGAGGGCAAGCAGGCUGCCCAAAGUCACACAGCCUUGACGGCAUAUCCCCUGUGCGCACUUGGGGACUGUUGCCUGGAGUUCCGAGUUGGCACUCAGCGAAACAAAGAAAGCAUUGCUCUCUGAGCAGGAAACCUUCCCACAAUGACUGGAGGGGAAGAACACAGUUUUAUCACUGAAGGAGCCCAGAACCAGGAAGGGACGCCCAUCACAGGCUGAGACCUGGCAGGGACCGGAAAAGUCCCACCUUCUCGCACAGCCCGGAG
This is a long non-coding RNA of Orcinus orca (killer whale), 1380 nucleotides long. RefSeq lists it as uncharacterized. The record is from RefSeq and is a predicted model, not a curated record. The transcript is spliced from 4 exons. NCBI's taxonomy places the organism in Eukaryota, Metazoa, Chordata, Mammalia, Artiodactyla, Delphinidae.